Camelina sativa (false flax) is the source of this 1562-nucleotide RNA transcript. It is a transcript of the gene named diphthine--ammonia ligase-like, with no coding region annotated. The record is from RefSeq and is a predicted model, not a curated record. Lineage: Eukaryota; Viridiplantae; Streptophyta; Magnoliopsida; Brassicales; Brassicaceae.
UUGUGUGUUUAAGACUUUAUUAUUAAAAUUCAGGAGUUUUGAUUAGCAGAGCAUUGUUUGAUUGAAUUGAACAGUUCAAAAAUUGGGAUUCUUUUCGAAUCCCAGUGUCGUCGUCGGCGAGCGUUUGGUCUCAUGUGUAAAGAAAUCGAGAAAUUCGAAGUGUGGCAUCAUGGAAUUUGUCGUUUUGAUUCCCUGGGAAGCGUAGAAAAACCCUAAUUCUGUUCGAGAUAGAGGUGGUUGGUUCCACUGGCGACCUGGUUCAGAGUAGUUUUGAUAAGGGACAAAGAAACCAUUAACCAUGUGAAGAGAAAGAUCGUGGCAUUGGCUAAUUUUGUUGCCGGUUGAUGAUUCGGUCGAUGAAUUGGACAGCUAUAUGUAUGUAUCAAACUGUAGGCCACCAGAUAAUAUAGUGGGCUAUGCAGAAUGUAUGAAUGUGCCAUUAUUGUUCAGAAGAAGAAUCCGUGGACCUCCAAGGCAUCAGAAACUUAGCUACCAAAUGAAUCCAGAUGAUGAAGUGGAAGAUAUGUUUGUGUUGUUAAGUGAAAUUGAAGAGACAGAUACCCUUCCAUCACUGCUGUAUCCUCUAGUGCGAUUGCAUCAGACUAUCAACGGCUGCCCGGUGGAGAGUUUUUUGUUCAAGGUUGGGCCUUGUUUCUUUUGGCAUUUUUGUGGAAACAAGAUCAGACAUUGCUUCUUCAUGAAAUGAUAGCAAAUGGGAUUAAAGGUAUCUUAGUCAAGGUCGCGGCAAUAGGGUUAGAUCCCUCAAAGCAUCUAGGGAAAGACUUAGCCUUCAUGGAACCAUAUAUUUUGAAGUUAAAAGAGUAUGCCACAGUUCUCUUUUAUGGCUUCAUAUAUCUUUUUUUUUUUUUCUCAAAAAGAAAAAAUGUAUGGCUUCAUAUAUCUAUUUGUGUUACAUUGGUUCUAAAGCUUCUGAAUGCAUCUCCACUUAGAAAUAUGGGAGUAAUGUUUGGGUUUAACUGGCAGAGUGUAUUGUACAUUCAUCUUUAUAUCUCUAACUUGAGUGGAUUUGCUGUGGCGAAUGAGACAUGUGAAAUUUCUCACACAAGAUAAGUGCCCUUUCGGUGUUCCUUCACGUAGUACAAUAGAACUUCCUUUGGUAAAAGCGGGCCUUGGAAAAGCUUAUGUUGAGGUUUUAGUUGCGAGUGACGAAAGCAACAGAGUUCUCCAUGUCCAAAGUAUAUCUUGCUGGACACCUAGCUGCAUUGGAACUUACAGUCAGGCCACUUUGCACAAGAGUGUUGUUCAUAUGUCUGGACAACUAGGACUUGACCCUCCCAUGAUGAAUCUUCGAAACGAAGGCGCAAUUGCUGAGCUUAAUCAAGCAUUGACUAACAGCGAGGCAAUAGCAGAGUCUUUUAACCGCUCAAUCUCUUCAUCAGUUAUACUCUUUGUGGUUUUCUGUUCAUCACGCACGAAACAAUCAGAGAGGAACCAACUUCUUAUAUAUGUAUCUGACAGAUUGAAUGAGUCACAAUACUCGAUACAUUCUUGGUUGUUUAUCCUUUGGGUGAGAAGAGAAUGUGACAGACUAAAAUUUUGGA